GCAAAGGAUAGCUCAGCUGGUAGAGUGUGGGAUUGUUAAUCUCUGGGUCAUGGGUUUCAGCCCCAUGUUGGGCA
Podarcis lilfordi (Lilford's wall lizard) is the source of this 74-nucleotide non-coding RNA. The record is from the annotation of a GenBank genome assembly. Lineage: Eukaryota; Metazoa; Chordata; Lepidosauria; Squamata; Lacertidae.